UACGUAGGGGGCAAGCGUUGUCCGGAUUUAUUGGGCGUAAAGAGCGUGUAGGCGGCCAGGUAGGUCAGCUGUGAAAACUCGAGGCUCAACCUCGAGACGUCGGUUGAAACCACCUGGCUAGAGUCCGGAAGAGGAGAGUGGAAUUCCUGGUGUAGCGGUGAAAUGCGCAGAUAUCAGGAGGAACACCGGUGGCGAAGGCGGGUCUCUGGGCCGAUACUGACGCUGAGGAGCGAAAGCGUGGGGAGCGAACAGG
RNAcentral lists this ribosomal RNA (253 nucleotides) under uncultured bacterium. RNAcentral describes it as "partial 16S ribosomal RNA". It matches the Rfam family "Bacterial small subunit ribosomal RNA", at positions 524 to 776 of the family's 1533-position model. The record is from RNAcentral.